UGUCCCCGCUGGCUCGUGUUUGCCCCUGCACCUCCAUCUCAGGAGGUCUCAGAAGGCAGGUCACACUGCAGACCACAGUGGCCCCACACCCAGCGGGGCGGAGCCGUCCUGUCUGCAGGCUCAGCGACCCCAGGGCCGCUGUCCUCCCCCUGCCGGAGUCCUCGGCCCAGCUCUAGGUCUGCAGCUCAUUCUCCAGCUCCACGCCUCCGUUUGAAAGUAGCCACCAGCGACAGUAAAUCAGUGAACAUUAUUAAUCUUCCUGACUGGGCCCUGAGUGAGUGAAGAGGGCCAUUGAAAGGGGACUAAACGGUUAUACUGGGUGCCCUUGAAAAUGAAAAGGAACCCUGCAAGUGAUGACUGAUAAUCCUAAAAACUACUGCGAAAUGCUUUAAAAUACCACCGCUGGGCGUAACACCAGGCCCUGCGCUCUCAAAACCGAAGCUCCAGGCUCCUGGGCCCCGGGAGAGGAAGAGGAGGAGUCAGGCAGGCAGCUGAGAGAAGGGGCUCCCAUCUCCCAUCCUCUCCUCCCAGCAUCACAGAGGCGCCCACGAAAGCAGAACCCGAACCUUCCGCUCCUUUAUCCGAUACCGCACCUCUCCAAGUGAUGUUUUUUCGCAGACUGAGCAAAACUCAUUGCCCGGAGUAGUUUGGGCAAAUGACUCCCAGUUUGGCCAGUUAGGCCCUUGCUCCGUUAAUCAGUGAAACAACUGUCCUAGCCUUUGGCUCCUCGGUUUGAUUGUCUAUUCAAUACCCCAAAAAUGUACAGGCACAUCAUACUCACAUUUGCAACCCAUAAAAAUAUCGAAGAUGUUCACUGAAUUCAGCCAAAAUCUGAAGACACCAAGCCAACAGCCAGACAAGAAGCUCUGCACCCCACCCCGGCAGGCCUGGUCCACUCACCACGGGCAACUGCCUGCAGCCCCUCCGCCCUCUGCUCUGCCUUCCAAACUACUGCCCCCUGCCUGCACCCCUUCUAGAAGGCAGGGCGGCUCCCGGUGGCCUAGGGGGCAGCAGGAGGCAAGGCCCCGGAAGGCCCGUUCUCAGUCCCACCAAGUCCCGGGCCUUCCCAGAAAGCCCAGGGGACACAGGGCUGAGUGUGAAGCGCCAGCCCUGGGCUUUGGGGAAGGAACUCCCGGGGCUGAGCCACUCCCGCCCCCAAAUCCAGAGGAGGGCCACAACCCAGGGUGAUGACCCCAGCGGCAAGCAGCUUCCUCCAUCUUCUUGAAGACAUCUCAAAGGGGCAGAGUCAGGAAAGGAAGUGAAAGGAGGCCCAGGUGCCACGGUGGCUUUAUCUUUCCCCCUCCCUAGUAUUUCUAUCAAGUUUCUGUUUCACUGCCCCCUCACAUCUAAGGGGUAUGGGAACCUUUUUAAUGAAAUUCUGUGGGAAACACAACAGGUUUGAUUCAUGACGUGUUGUUACCAGCUACCUGAUAAUAAGGCACUCUUGAAAACAUCAGGUUCAGGACUCCAUCCAUUUUGAAUACAGACAUGUAGCCUUUGUUUCUAGAUUUAAAUGCCUUUAGAGACAGUAUUAUGCCUAAAAAAUCAUCUCUCCUCCUGUUCAAAAAGUAAGUCAGGUUCAGAGAAAACCUGACUUACGCAUUCCUAGGUUGACUGUGCAUGUGUAACCCCUCCUCAAAUAACAUCUCUUACGAAAGGGUCAGUUACUCUUCUCUCCGUAUUGCCAGGUCAUUGGAACCUGAAGCAAACCACUUCAAAAGAAACUACACUAAAAUCCUUAAGAUAUAAUUUAUAACUCAUUUCCAUUUUUUUUAAAAAAAAGAUAAUUCCUAACAGCUAUAAAACAAAGAUAAGAGAAGGUGCUGAUGGCAGUCCCCUUUCAAAUCAGCCCUCCCAUAGAAUCAGAAUGGUAAGACUGCUUUGGAAUUCUGGAAAUUAUGUUUGGAGGGUUUUUUCCGUGGAAACCUUUGUUAGGUCAGUGUUCAUCAAAGUAACCACGGGGAAAGCCUCAAGGCGGCUGGCUGCACCAGGAGGGGGGGUGGUGCUGGUCCCAUUGUACAGACAGCCGUAACCUUGUAACUGAGGCCAGAUGACCCUGGUCACAUGCCACCUUUCACCAAGUCCACUUAACGAAAGUAAGUCUUCCUGCCGCCUCCGUAAAAAUUCAGUUUCGGUAUUUGCAGAAAAUCCACAUGGCACGGUCUUUUCUGGGUAGUAGCUUCCUCAAUCCUGCUCUUUCCCAGGCUCAGCGGAUAUGUGAUGACUGUGCCCCCCCUCUUGCUAAGACACUCCCAAAGAUUUCCUGGAGCAACUUGAAAAGGACCUACAAGCUUGAAAUAAAGAUUCAAUGCGUCCUAUUUGAAAAUGCACAGAUGCCACAUAAAACUGAAACAGAAUACCUGCUCCUGGCCCUGACUCCUAGAAAAACACUGGGAUGAUUUUCCUUCAGAAAAGAGUGACAUCGGAAAUGAGGCAGCUGCUUCUCCCACCUGCAUCUGGAGGGUUAAGGAGCACGAGGACUUUGCUGUCGGAGCCCAAGAAUAGCGUUUUAAGAGGCAUCACUCCCGAACAAUCACUAAACCACUAACACCCUCAUUUUAAAGAGAAGAAAACAGAAUGUGGGGAGCACGGAGAUGGAAGGUUUUUGAGCAAAGUCUCACUCCACUGGCAGCUCCUCUGACGGCUGCUCUGCCUUAAAGAAGCUUUCAGGAUCCUCAGACUUUCCCUAGUUUUAUGGAACUUCUCCCUGAUAUGAAAGGACCAUAACAUCCAGCCUCACAAAGGCUUUUCUGUUUGCUUCUACUGAUUAAAAAGAAAGAAAAUACUAAUGGGAGCAUCAUUAAGUCACCUGCUAAGAAUAUGAGAAAGGAAAGAGAUCCUGCCCAUUUUACAGAUGGAAAAACCUAAGUAUAAGGUGUAGUAUCUUUCCUUUAACCAUAAUCAAGGCUGGGCUGGAUUUAGAACCUGGCUGGUCACCUAAGCCUACAAAUCCAGCUCCCUCUGAUAGAUCAUAUGAAAUUAAUUAAAAGGGCUAAGGGAGAUAUGCCAUAAGGUCUGCU
Canis lupus familiaris (dog) is the source of this 3020-nucleotide long non-coding RNA. RefSeq lists it as uncharacterized. Lineage: Eukaryota; Metazoa; Chordata; Mammalia; Carnivora; Canidae. The record is from RefSeq and is a predicted model, not a curated record. The transcript has 2 exons.